RNAcentral lists this small nuclear RNA (104 nucleotides) under Helicoverpa zea (corn earworm). Lineage: Eukaryota; Metazoa; Arthropoda; Insecta; Lepidoptera; Noctuidae. The record is from RNAcentral.
ACUAACUUCUGCUUGUGUAUACUAAAAUUGGAACGAUACAGAGAAGAUUAGCAUGGCCCCUGCACAAGGAUGGCACGCAAAAUCGUGAAGCGUUCCACAUUUUU